Molecule: ribosomal RNA, 497 nt
Filed under: uncultured bacterium
Lineage: Bacteria
Description: bacterial SSU rRNA
Rfam family: Bacterial small subunit ribosomal RNA
Source: RNAcentral
UAGACGUAGUUGAUCAUGGCUACAGAACGAACGCUGGCGGCGCGCCUUAACACAUGCAAGUCGAACGAGAAUCCGGGGCAACCCGGUAGUAAAGUGGCAAACGGGUGAGGAAUACAUGGGUAACCUACCCUUGAGAAGGGAAUAACCCGCCGAAAGGUGAGCUAAUACCCUAUACGCUAUCUUUUUUUCGAAAAGGAUAGGAAAGCCGGGUCGAGGACCUGGUACUCAAGGAGGGGCUCAUGUCCUAUCAGCUUGUUGUGGGGUAACGGCCUACCAAGGCUACGACGGGUAGCUGGUCUGAGAGGAUGAUCAGCCACACUGGGACUGAGACACGGCCCAGACUCCUACGGGAGGCAGCAGUGGGGAAUAUUGGACAAUGGGGGAAACCCUGAUCCAGCUACGCCGCGUGGGUGAUGAAGGCCUUCGGGUUGUAAAGCCCUGUCGAGGGGGACGAAGUUCUGACGGUACCCCUCAAGAAAGCACCGGCUAACUCCGUG